CAGUGACACCUGUCAAGAAGGUGGGAUAUAUUAGGCAGCACGUGAACAGUCAGCUCACAAGGUUGAAGUGUUGGAACCAGGAUGCACUAUGGGAAGGAGGCAAGCUGGCUGAGGAAGUAUGAUGCUCUGGGCAAUGUUCUGCUGGUAAACCUUGGCCAUAGCCCUCCUCUGAUUCAACAAGAAAUCCUGAGAGAAGACCAGAGAAGAUCCUGGCUACGAGACAGAUGGCGUCCCCCCCUGAAUCUCACCUGCAGUGGCCAGAGUGAGCUGUGAAGCACACGUCCAAUUGCCCUCAGGUGAUCCUAUAAAUGUUUCAUUGGUGCAUGUAUCUGAUUCAAGCUCUUUAGUUCGAACCUGUUCCCGGGUGAGAGGCCCUAAGACAAAACCAUGUGUGUUUCUUCAAGAACGUGCUUUUCUUUUUCUUCAGCACGACUCAAAAGGUGUAGGCAAUGUUUAGCCUUUACGAAUUACAAGUACUGGUAACUUUAAUUAACAACCUGUCACAUUAUCUUCUCAUGGUGAACAACAUGUCUUAAAAAUCAGCCUACUUCAAGGACUCUCUCAAUUCACACAUGAUGAUGAUGAUAAUAAUAAUAAUAAUAAUAAUAAUAAUAAUAAUAAUAACAAUAAACUGCUGGUUCUCCACUUAGCACUUAAGAUAUAGAAAAGGAAGGACAUGUGAAUACUCUUUUGUAGAAAAAUCACUUACAUUUCACAUGUGAAAAACAUGAUGGUACAUUUUGCCACAUGAGGCACCGAAAUCUCACAAGUGAAUAAACGUGAAAAAUAAUAGUGAAAAAUCCAAAAUAAAUGAAAAUUCAAGCAAAAUAUAAUCAUGUGAGAAAAUGUGUAAAUAAAGGAAGU
Ictalurus punctatus (channel catfish) is the source of this 864-nucleotide long non-coding RNA. NCBI's taxonomy places the organism in Eukaryota, Metazoa, Chordata, Actinopteri, Siluriformes, Ictaluridae. The record is from Ensembl.